This 303-nucleotide ribosomal RNA is filed under the name uncultured bacterium. Its description in RNAcentral is "partial 16S ribosomal RNA". It matches the Rfam family "Bacterial small subunit ribosomal RNA", at positions 507 to 808 of the family's 1533-position model. The record is from RNAcentral.
AGCAGUCGCCACGGUAAUACGGAGGGUGCAAGCGUUAAUCGGAAUUACUGGGCGUAAAGCGCACGCAGGCGGUCUGACAAGUCAGAUGUGAAAUCCCCGGGCUUAACCUGGGAACUGCAUUUGAAACUGUCAGGCUGGAGUCUUGUAGAGGGGGGUGGAAUUCCAGGUGUAGCGGUGAAAUGCGUAGAGAUCUGGAGGAAUACCGGUGGCGAAGGCGGCCCCCUGGACAAAGACUGACGCUCAGGUGCGAAAGCGUGGGGAGCAAACAGGAUUAGAUACCCUGUAGUCCCUGUCUCUUAUACA